GCGGAUGUGGCGGAAUUGGUAGACGCGCACGGUUCAGGUCCGUGUGCCCGCAAGGGCGUGGAGGUUCAAGUCCUCUCAUCCGCA
RNAcentral lists this transfer RNA (84 nucleotides) under bacterium. Its description in RNAcentral is "tRNA-Leu". It matches the Rfam family "tRNA". From Rfam's summary of the family: Transfer RNA (tRNA) molecules are approximately 80 nucleotides in length. RNAcentral also lists the same sequence under 3 other names. The record is from RNAcentral.